RNAcentral lists this ribosomal RNA (492 nucleotides) under uncultured bacterium. Its description in RNAcentral is "partial 16S ribosomal RNA". It matches the Rfam family "Bacterial small subunit ribosomal RNA", at positions 29 to 507 of the family's 1533-position model. The record is from RNAcentral.
AGUGAACGCUGGCGGUAGGCCUAACACAUGCGAGUCGAACGGCAGCACAGUAAGAGCUUGCUCUUACGGGUGGCGAGUGGCGGACGGGUGAGGAAUACAUCGGAAUCUACUUUUUCGGGGGGGAUAACGUAGGGAAACUUACGCUAAUACCGCAUACGACCUACGGGUGAAAGCAGGAGAUCUUCGCACCUUGCGCGAUUGAAUGAGCCGAUGUCGGAUUAGCUAGUUGGCGGGGUAAAGGCCCACCAAGGCGACGAUCCGUAGCUGGUCUGAGAGGAUGAUCAGCCACACUGGAACUGAGACACGGUCCAGACUCCUACGGGAGGCAGCAGUGGGGAAUAUUGCACAAUGGGCGCAAGCCUGAUCCAGCCAUACCGCGUGGGUGAAGAAGGUCUUCGGGUUGUAAAGCCCUUUUGUUGGGAAAGAAAAGCAGCAGGUUAAUCCCCCCCUGUUCUGACGGUACCCAAAGAAUAAGCACCGGCUAACUUCGUG